CAGAGGGUGAGAAUCCCGUGCGAUGAGAUGUCCCAGACCUAUGUGAAGUUCCUUCGAAGAGUCGAGUUGUUUGGGAAUGCAGCUCUAAGUGGGUGGUAAAUUCCAUCUAAAGCUAAAUAUUGGCGAGAGACCGAUAGCGAACAAGUACAGUGAUGGAAAGAUGAAAAGAACUUUGAAAAGAGAGUGAAAAAGUACGUGAAAUUGUUGAAAGGGAAGGGCUUGAGAUCAGACUUGGUAUUUUGUAUGUUACUCUCUCGGGGGUGGCCUCUACAGUUUACCGGGCCAGCAUCAGUUUGGGCGGUAGGACAAUUGCAAAGAAAUGUGGCACUGCCUCGGUAGUGUGUUAUAGUCUUUGUCGAUACUGCCAGCCUAGACUGAGGACUGCGGCUUCGGCCUAGGAUGUUGGCAUAAUGAUCUUAAGUCGCCCGUCUUGAAACACGGACCA
This 445-nucleotide ribosomal RNA is filed under the name Lodderomyces orthopsilosis. Its description in RNAcentral is "Candida orthopsilosis partial large subunit ribosomal RNA". It matches the Rfam family "Eukaryotic large subunit ribosomal RNA", at positions 206 to 668 of the family's 3401-position model. Lineage: Eukaryota; Fungi; Ascomycota; Pichiomycetes; Serinales; Debaryomycetaceae. The record is from RNAcentral.